This 102-nucleotide transfer RNA is filed under the name Candidatus Bathyarchaeota archaeon. RNAcentral's name for it is "tRNA-Gln". The stretch from base 41 to 99 matches the Rfam family "tRNA". Rfam says of the family: Transfer RNA (tRNA) molecules are approximately 80 nucleotides in length. Their secondary structure includes four short double-helical elements and three loops (D, anti-codon, and T loops). The record is from RNAcentral. Lineage: Archaea; Thermoproteati; Candidatus Bathyarchaeota.
AGCCCGGUGGUGUAGUGGACUAGCAAGGGUCGAAAACAAUGACCCGGUCAAUGAUGGGCUUUGGACCCAUCGACGGGAGUUCGAAUCUCCCCCGGGCUACCA